UCCUUGGUCCUUUUUCAAUACACCAAAGAAUUUGUGGCACCUAUCAGAGGAGCACGAGAUGAACCUGGAGAGGGCGACUAUUUGACCUGUCAACUUCUACACUUGCUUUUUGCUAUUCAGUAUUUCCGGGAUGGCUUCUAUGGUUUUGAUCUGGUUUGGGUUGACUUCGAUGCCCCUUUGUGAUACCAGAAACCCUAGGAACUUUCCUGAGGCUACGCCAAAGGAGCUUUUUUCGGGAU
This 239-nucleotide long non-coding RNA is filed under the name Nicotiana benthamiana. Its description in RNAcentral is "long non-coding RNA (NBEN_LNC025417)". The record is from RNAcentral. Lineage: Eukaryota; Viridiplantae; Streptophyta; Magnoliopsida; Solanales; Solanaceae.